This 76-nucleotide transfer RNA is filed under the name Staphylococcus aureus. RNAcentral's name for it is "tRNA-Val". It matches the Rfam family "tRNA". Rfam says of the family: Transfer RNA (tRNA) molecules are approximately 80 nucleotides in length. Their secondary structure includes four short double-helical elements and three loops (D, anti-codon, and T loops). Lineage: Bacteria; Bacillati; Bacillota; Bacilli; Caryophanales; Staphylococcaceae. RNAcentral also lists the same sequence under 1 other name. The record is from RNAcentral.
GAGCCAUUAGCUCAGCUGGGAGAGCAUCUGCCUUACAAGCAGAGGGUCGGCGGUUCGAACCCGUCAUUCUCCACCA